RNAcentral lists this ribosomal RNA (460 nucleotides) under uncultured bacterium. Its description in RNAcentral is "partial 16S ribosomal RNA". It matches the Rfam family "Bacterial small subunit ribosomal RNA", at positions 338 to 795 of the family's 1533-position model. The record is from RNAcentral.
CCUACGGGUGGCAGCAGUGAGGAAUAUUGGUCAAUGGACGAGAGUCUGAACCAGCCAAGUAGCGUGAAGGAUGACUGCCCUAUGGGUUGUAAACUUCUUUUAUAUGGGAAUAAAAUGUUCCACGUGUGGGAUUUUGUCUGUACCAUGUGAAUAAGGAUCGGCUAACUCCGUGCCAGCAGCCGCGGUAAUACGGAGGAUCCGAGCGUUAUCCGGAUUUAUUGGGUUUAAAGGGAGCGUAGGUGGAUUGUUAAGUCAAUUGUGAAAGUUUGCGGCCCAACCGUAACAUUGCAGUUGAAACUGGCAGUGUUGAGUACAGUAGAGGUGGGCGGAAGUCGUGGUGUAGCGGUGAAAUGCUUAGAGAUCACGAAGAACUACGAGUGCGAAGGCAGCUCACUGGACUGCAACUGACACUGAGGCUCGAAAGCGUGGGUAUCAAACAGGAUUAGAUACCCGUGUAGUC